This 75-nucleotide transfer RNA is filed under the name Halosaccharopolyspora lacisalsi. Its description in RNAcentral is "Saccharopolyspora lacisalsi tRNA-Val". It matches the Rfam family "tRNA". From Rfam's summary of the family: Transfer RNA (tRNA) molecules are approximately 80 nucleotides in length. Their secondary structure includes four short double-helical elements and three loops (D, anti-codon, and T loops). The record is from RNAcentral. Lineage: Bacteria; Bacillati; Actinomycetota; Actinomycetes; Pseudonocardiales; Pseudonocardiaceae.
GCGCGAUUAGCUCAGCGGGAGAGCGCUACGUUGACACCGUAGAGGUCGCUGGUUCAAACCCAGCAUCGCGCACCA